GACGAACGCUGGCGGCGUGCUUAACACAUGCAAGCCGAACGGAAAGGCCCUGCUUUUGUGGGGUGCUCGAGUGGCGAACGGGUGAGUAACACGUGAGUAACCUGCCCUUGACUUUGGGAUAACUUCAGGAAACUGGGGCUAAUACCGGAUAGGAGCUCCUGCUGCAUGGUGGGGGUUGGAAAGUUUCGGCGGUUGGGGAUGGACUCGCGGCUUAUCAGCUUGUUGGUGGGGUAGUGGCUUACCAAGGCUUUGACGGGUAGCCGGCCUGAGAGGGUGGCCGGCCACAUUUGGACUGAGAUACGGCCCAGACUCCUACGGGAGGCAGCAGUGGGGAAUAUUGCACAAUGGGCGGAAGCCUGAUGCAGCAACGCCGCGUGCGGGAUGACGGCCUUCGGGUUGUAAACCGCUUUCGCCUGUGACGAAGCGUGAGUGACGGUAAUGGGUAAAGAAGCACCGGCUAACUACGUG
Molecule: ribosomal RNA, 468 nt
Filed under: uncultured bacterium
Lineage: Bacteria
Description: partial 16S ribosomal RNA
Rfam family: Bacterial small subunit ribosomal RNA
Source: RNAcentral